GGGAUUGCCCCAGUAACGGCGAGUGAAGCGGCAACAGCUCAAAUUUGAAAUCUGGCCCUCGGGUCCGAGUUGUAAUUGGCAGAGGAUGCUUUUGGCGAGGGUCCUUCCAAGUUCCUUAGAAUAGGACGCCGCAGAGGGUGAGAGCCCCGUACGGUUGGCCCCCGAGCCUGUGUAAAGCUCCUUCAACGAGUCGAGUAGUUUGGGAAUGCUGCUCUAAUUGGGAGGUAAAUUUCUUCUAAAGCUAAAUACCGGCCAGAGACCGAUAGCGCACAAGUAGAGUGAUCGAAAGAUGAAAAGCACUUUGAAAAGAGGGUGAAACAGUACGUGAAAUUGUUGAAAGGGAAGCGCUUGUGACCAGACCUGCGCCCGGCGAAUCAUCCAGCCCCGGCUGGUGCACUUCUCCGGCGUAGGCCAGCACCGGUUUACCGCGGGGGAAAAAGACGGUGGGAAUGUGACUCCUUCUGGAGUGUUAUAGCCCGCCGUGUAAUGCCCUGGGGUGGACCGAGGUACGCGCUCUGCAAGGGUGCUGGCGUAAUGGUCAUCAGCGGCCCGUCUUGAAACACGGACCAAGGAGUCGUCCUCGUAUGCGAGUGUUCGGGUGUAAAACCCUUGCGCGUAAUGAAAGUGAACGUAGGUGAGAGCUUCGGCGCAUCAUCGACCGAUCCUGAUGUUCUCGGAUGGAUUUGAGUAAGAGCAUAUGGGGCCGGACCCGAAAGAAGGUGAACUAUGCGUGUGUAGGGUGAAGCCAGAGGAAACUCUGGUGGAGGCUCGCAGCGGUUCUGACGUGCAAAUCGAUCGUCAAACAUGCGCAUGGGGGCGAAAGACUAAUCGAACCUUCUAGUAGCUGGUUUCCGCCGAAGUUUCCCUCAGGAUAGCAGUGUUGAGCUCAGUUUUAUGAGGUAAAGCGAAUGAUUAGGGACUCGGGGGCGCUAUUUAGCCUUCAUCCAUUCUCAAACUUUAAAUAUGUAAGAAGCCCUUGUUACUUAAUGAACG
RNAcentral lists this ribosomal RNA (993 nucleotides) under Marinokulati chaetosa. RNAcentral describes it as "eukaryotic LSU rRNA". It matches the Rfam family "Eukaryotic large subunit ribosomal RNA", at positions 71 to 1101 of the family's 3401-position model. The record is from RNAcentral. Lineage: Eukaryota; Fungi; Ascomycota; Sordariomycetes; Torpedosporales; Juncigenaceae.